CACGGAAACCUCUGCCUCACUGCAAAUUCAAGUGAUUCUCCUGCCUCAGCCUCCCGGGCAGCUGAAACUAUAGGCACACACCACCACACCCGGCUAAUUUUUGUAUUUUUAAGUAGAGACGACAUUUUGCCAUGCUGGUCAGGCUGGUCUAGAACUCCUGACCUCAAGUGAUCUUCCCACCUCAGCCUCCCAAUGUACUGGGUGGGAUUACAGGCACGAUCCACCGCACCUGGCCUAGACUUUGGUUUUUAUCUGGAGCGAAGUGCCACCAGGGCAGGGCUCUGAGCUAGGAGGGCCCUGGCCUGACUCAGGUGGUCCCAGGCUCCCUCUGGCUGAGAUGGGGAGCGGGGAGGCCAGGGAGGAAGCUGCCGGGAUGGCGAGGUUGGGGGAAGGAUGGAGGCUGGACCAGGGUCAGGGAAGUUUUUGUAGGUGGAGCCGAGAGGAUUUGAUGAGAGUGGAUGUGGGGGUGAGGGAGAGAGCGGGCCCAAGGAACACCCUGAGGUGUCUGGCCUAAGCCACUGGGCUAACAUGGCAAAAUAGGAAUGGCCUUUACCUCCGGAUGAAGCGUCACUGAGAAUUUCUGUUGAGAAUUUUCACAAAUUUGAAGUUCUGUUAUUUUAAACAAUGAAUAUGGGUGAUAUUUAUAAAGAGAAAAAGAAUUUUAGAAAAUGUAAAAAUUCCCCAGUGGCUCCACUCUGGAACACCUUCCUUGAGUGGCCUGGGAGGUCUGUGUGUACCUGAACCGCCUGUUAUGAAACCUGCUCAAAGAUGCCACUGCCUAUGAGGUGCCUAUGAACACCCGCACCCCUUAGCUUCAGCUGCCCAGGGUGGCCCAAAGGCUCAGUCCUGUGCACCCAGCAGAGGCCUGACCCACAGCUCCAGACCUCGUCCCCUCAUCAGGACUCUCACAGCAGCCCCUUCCUGGUCUCCCUACUCUUCCUGUCCUCCACCACCUGUUCCCCACACACAGCCAGAGGGGGCCUGUGAACACCUGAGCCAGGUCAGGGUCCUCCCCAGCUUCCACAGUGUUUGGCCACAGAAGUGGCCUGUCUUAAUCCCCACCGCGCUCCCUCCCACCUUGGAGUGUUUGCUGGGUUGUGCCCCACUCCUAGGGCACCCCUUCCCCAUCUUCAGUUAACCUUUUUUUUUUUUUUUUUUUU
Molecule: long non-coding RNA, 1160 nt
Filed under: Homo sapiens (human)
Lineage: Eukaryota; Metazoa; Chordata; Mammalia; Primates; Hominidae
Description: HSALNT0259063
Source: RNAcentral